RNAcentral lists this long non-coding RNA (309 nucleotides) under Capsicum annuum. RNAcentral's name for it is "long non-coding RNA (CANN_LNC005596)". Lineage: Eukaryota; Viridiplantae; Streptophyta; Magnoliopsida; Solanales; Solanaceae. The record is from RNAcentral.
GGUGAAUCAAGUGCAGAAUUUUAGAGUCUAAAUGGUAUUGUCCCUUCGGAUCGCGUCAUAUAAGAUCUUAAAAUUGUGAAAGGAUUAGAGAAGAGUCCGUUAUUGCUUCAGAGUGUAUGGGUUCUAGUGUGAACCUUGAUCUUGACGAAAUCGUGCUUUUCAGCCUUCUGUAUUGAGUAUAUUCGGCCCUUUUCAGAAAUUUAUGUUGCAGAUGUCAUGCUUAAGGGAAAAGAUGUGUAGUAGAAGUGUUGGAAUUGUAUUUCCACCAAAUAGUAGUAUAAGUUAAAGUGCCGGUAUCAUGACCUAUUG